AGCGAAACUAUUAUCUAACGCUAUGACACCAAACACGUGGUGGGAGCGAGCAUCGAGAUUGACUGUGGCAAGUGCCAACAAACAAAUAUUACGACAUUGGUACGACGAAACUGACCAAGAGCCGCCGAGGCCCCUAGAGCAUUACAGUUGUAAGUCCUCCGUGUACUCUUGAACUGCAAGUUGUUGUAGAAACUUCAAAAAAGAAAAGAUUUUAUCAGUGAAAUAAAAACACCUGACUGUGCUACAGCCAAAAGAGUUAGAAAGAUUAACUCCGAAACAGCUUGACCGUUUUGGCUGAUUUUUUUGUUGUGUUUGUAAUUGUCAGAACGAGAUUAGUAUGAAAGAAAAUGUUGGGAAAAUCUACUGGAAAAGUAGGAAACCUUCAAUUGUCUACCAAGUCCUCCAAUCCAAAAGUUUGCUGCUGUGAUGAAUUGCAUGAUGUCGGCUAUGGCGUUGGGAUGAUUGCGGAGUAUUUCGGCGAGUGGUUGAGGCUUGAUCGGAUGUUGUGAUAUGUAUGGCAUUCAGUGAAGAGAUAUUGAGUCUUAUAUGACUCGAGAAGUAAGUUAUAUAGUCUUGUCAGCCUGUUUUUAAUGCUAAUGUUUUUUUAUUUUAGGGCGGAUCGUGUCUAAUAUUUCAAUCAUUUCCAUCGGAAUAUUAUAUUAUUAUGGAUAUAAAAUAACAAAUCUCGAUUUUGGAGAAUAUGAAGGAUAGAGCCUAGUUUUUAAUCGAGGUUAGGUUAGGUUAGGUUAGUAAUUAGUACUAUGUUGUUGUGUAUUGUGUUAUUGUGUUUAGUUCUCUGAUAAUAUCAUGGUCAUAGAUUAACGGAAUUCGGACGUAGAAAAAGAUUUAAGGUGUUAAAGUAUUUGAUUAAUACCUAUAUUAGUAUUUAAUUUAAAAAUAUUAAAUAGGUGCAUAAAUUUUGAGAAAAUAUUUAAAAUAUAUGUAUCUAUGUAUUUGAGUACCUACUCAAAAAGUUUUUGAAUAUUUUAAUUUAAAAAUUUUACAAGUCUGUAUACAUGUUGGAUCGUAAUUCGUAUAUAAAAUAAUGUAUUGGACACAGGCAAAACUAUGUACUUAUUAAUAUUUAUUAUAAUUAUCAGUGUUCCCUGAGGAACAGACGAUGGUCGGUGGCUGACGGUGCGGGUGAGGACGACGUCUAAAGCAAUCAUCGUUUACAAAUUGGUUAAAUCAUUCAUCCCCGCUAUAGUGGCUUCGUUCAUGAAGAAAAUUACUUGAUAACUCUCUUUCUCCCUCCUUUAUUUUCUCCGCCAUCUGACGAUCUCCGAUUUUUUGUCAACUGCACUAUUAUCUAUUCGCUGUUUUUUUGUUAUCCUAUACAAUACACAUCCUACCUUUUCUAAACUGAGUGACUAUAUUAUACGAGGUAAGACGACGACAAGCCGUUCGAGUAAAGAAAAUCAAUCAUCUGAAACCACACAAGUUGCUAAAACUCUGGUAGACGCAUGAAAAAAGAAAUUAAAAUUAAAUAGAAAAUACUUACGCUCCCGCGGAACCUAAAAGCCUGAGUAAAACGGAUGUCUCACAACCAUGCCGGAAAUUAUCAUUCAAUGAUGGUUUUUUUUAGAAAAACCAACAUAUUUUGGACGUUUUUACUAAAUAAAAAAUAUAAAAAUAAUUUAAAAAACUGGUAAGUGCAUGUCGCUCUGCUGCGCAUUGGGUGUCUGGAAGGUCGCUAUAAUGGAUGGCAUUAAAUUUGUAUUCAAUGAUAUCCUAUCAUCGUAUACGAAAAACGAUUCUGAGCGGAGAAGGUAUGUCAGUCUAGGGUAUUUUAUAUUGUUAU
This is a long non-coding RNA of Myzus persicae (green peach aphid), 1801 nucleotides long. RefSeq lists it as uncharacterized. Lineage: Eukaryota; Metazoa; Arthropoda; Insecta; Hemiptera; Aphididae. The transcript has 4 exons. The record is from RefSeq and is a predicted model, not a curated record.